RNAcentral lists this long non-coding RNA (228 nucleotides) under Elaeis guineensis (African oil palm). Its description in RNAcentral is "long non-coding RNA (EGUI_LNC011026)". The record is from RNAcentral. Lineage: Eukaryota; Viridiplantae; Streptophyta; Magnoliopsida; Arecales; Arecaceae.
ACUUACAACAAGUGCAGCUGAGAGACAAGCAUAGAUUUACAUAAACCGGAGUCAGGAUUCACCAAAACAUUGUUAGUAAACUCUGAUGAUCGUUUAUAAAGCAUCAGGUAUUAGAUAGUGUUGGUUGGCGACUGAGUAGAUGAUCCAAGGAUGUUAUGAAAAUAAUGUGAUAAAGAGAGAAAAAAAUUGACAGAGAGAGAGGGAGUGAAUCAAGUUGGGCCAGAGACA